GCAUGAUCUUGCCUGGUGGUGAGUCAAGGCUUCAAACCUUGGGGGGCUUAGCGGCCCAGUUGUUCGAUUCAACCUUG
This 77-nucleotide transfer RNA is filed under the name Thalassiothrix antarctica. Its description in RNAcentral is "Selenocysteine transfer RNA". It matches the Rfam family "Selenocysteine transfer RNA", at positions 6 to 86 of the family's 91-position model. The record is from RNAcentral. Lineage: Eukaryota; Bacillariophyta; Fragilariophyceae; Thalassionematales; Thalassionemataceae.